AACUAAAAUGACUCUCGGCAACGGAUAUCUCGGCUCUUGCAUCGAUGAAGAACGUAGCGAAAUGCGAUACUUGGUGUGAAUUGCAGAAUCCCGUGAACCAUCGAGUCUUUGAACGCAAGUUGCGCCCGAAGCCAUUAGGCCGAGGGCACGUCUGCCUGGGUGUCACAC
RNAcentral lists this ribosomal RNA (168 nucleotides) under Hypocalyptus sophoroides. RNAcentral describes it as "5.8S ribosomal RNA". It matches the Rfam family "5.8S ribosomal RNA". Rfam says of the family: 5.8S ribosomal RNA (5.8S rRNA) is a component of the large subunit of the eukaryotic ribosome. It is transcribed by RNA polymerase I as part of the 45S precursor that also contains 18S and 28S rRNA. Lineage: Eukaryota; Viridiplantae; Streptophyta; Magnoliopsida; Fabales; Fabaceae. The record is from RNAcentral.